GUGGGGAAUCUUGCGCAAUGGGCGAAAGCCUGACGCAGCCAUGCCGCGUGAAUGAUGAAGGUCUUAGGAUUGUAAAAUUCUUUCACCGGGGACGAUAAUGACGGUACCCGGAGAAGAAGCUCCGGCUAACUUCGUGCCAGCAGCCGCGGUAAUACGAAGGGGGCUAGCGUUGCUCGGAAUUACUGGGCGUAAAGGGCGCGUAGGCGGACAGCUUAGUCAGAGGUGAAAGCCCAGGGCUCAACCUUGGAAUUGCCUUUGAUACUGGCUGUCUUGAGUUUGGGAGAGGUGAGUGGAACUCCGAGUGUAGAGGUGAAAUUCGUAGAUAUUCGGAGGAACACCAGUGGCGAAGGCGGCUCACUGGUCCGGUACUGACGCUGAGGUGCGAAAGCGUGGGGAGCAAACAGGAUUAGAAACCCUGGUAGUCC
RNAcentral lists this ribosomal RNA (425 nucleotides) under uncultured bacterium. RNAcentral describes it as "partial 16S ribosomal RNA". It matches the Rfam family "Bacterial small subunit ribosomal RNA", at positions 354 to 796 of the family's 1533-position model. The record is from RNAcentral.